CUACGGAAGGUCCGGGCGUUAUCCGGAUUUAUUGGGUUUAAAGGGAGCGCAGGCGGAGAUGCAAGCGUGACGUCAAAUUUCGGGGCUCAACCCCGUCUCGCGUCGCGAACUGCGUCCCUUGGUUGCGGGAAGGGGAGGCGGAACUCGUGGUGUAGCGGUGAAAUGCAUAGAUAUCACGAAGAACUCCGAUCACGAAGGCAGCCUUCCGGCCCGUCAACGACGCUCAUGCUCGAAGGUGCGGGUAUCAAACAGGAUUAGAUACCCUGGUAGUCCACGCAGUAAACGAUGAUGACUAACCGUCGGCGAUACACAGUCGGUGGCCAAGCGAAAGCGAUAAGUCAUCCACCUGGGGAGUACGUUCGCAAGAAUGAAACUCAAAUGAAUUGGCGGGG
Molecule: ribosomal RNA, 392 nt
Filed under: uncultured bacterium
Lineage: Bacteria
Description: partial 16S ribosomal RNA
Rfam family: Bacterial small subunit ribosomal RNA
Source: RNAcentral